Molecule: long non-coding RNA, 307 nt
Organism: Oxyura jamaicensis (ruddy duck)
Lineage: Eukaryota; Metazoa; Chordata; Aves; Anseriformes; Anatidae
Exons: 2
Source: RefSeq, a predicted model, not a curated record
CAGCCUUUGCUGCAAAGACAGAGGAUGGACCCAAAGGCUCUGUGAAAAACUCCACCCAAGCACCUUCUCAGGCAAUGAAACUUGGGCACACUCUGAAAUCCACUGGACAAAGGACUCGCAGACAAAACCAUAGUAUGACCAGGGGAAUUGAGUACAACCAGACCUGCAACUGCGGAUCCUGUCACAUGCACCCUCCCAGCAGCUCCUCUCAGCUCCAACUCCAGACAUGACACAGCAGGCGUGAGUCGUUUAAAAGCAAUCCUCUCCUACUGGAGAGGAAAAAAUAAAUGCCAGCUUAAUUCAUCUA